GUGAGGAAUUUUCCGCAAUGGGCGAAAGCCUGACGGAGCAAUGCCGCGUGAAGGAUGAAGGCCUAUGGGUUGUAAACUUCUUUUCUCAGAAAAGAAUUAUGACGGUAUCUGAGGAAUAAGCAUCGGCUAACUCUGUGCCAGCAGCCGCGGUAAGACAGAGGAUGCAAGCGUUAUCCGGAAUGAUUGGGCGUAAAGCGUCUGUAGGUUGUUUAAAAAGUAUUCUGUCAAAGAUUAGGGCUUAACCCUAGAUAGGCAGAAUAAACUUUUAAGCUAGAGUUUGGUAGAGGCAGAGGGAAUUCCCGGUGGAGCGGUGAAAUGCGUAGAUAUCGGGAGGAACACCAAAGGCAAAGGCACUCUGCUGGGCCAAUACUAACACUGAGAGACGAAAGCGAGGGGAGCAAAUGGGAUUAGAAACCCUUGUAGUCC
Molecule: ribosomal RNA, 426 nt
Filed under: uncultured bacterium
Lineage: Bacteria
Description: bacterial SSU rRNA
Rfam family: Bacterial small subunit ribosomal RNA
Source: RNAcentral